Molecule: transfer RNA, 73 nt
Filed under: Dipodomys ordii (Ord's kangaroo rat)
Lineage: Eukaryota; Metazoa; Chordata; Mammalia; Rodentia; Heteromyidae
Rfam family: tRNA
About the family: Transfer RNA (tRNA) molecules are approximately 80 nucleotides in length. Their secondary structure includes four short double-helical elements and three loops (D, anti-codon, and T loops).
Source: Rfam by way of RNAcentral
UGAGGUAUGGUUCAUGUGAUAGCUUACAUGCCUAGCAAGCAUGAGGCCCUGAGUUCAAAUCUCAGUACUGCCA